AUGAAGCAUGCACAGUACGAAGGUACGGUGGUACCUCCUCCUGCUCUAGGGGACCGACCGUGCGGUGCUCUGUCACCUCACCGGACGCUCGUGGGUGCGGGGUGUCGUCGUGUCCUUGCACUGCCUGGAGGUCAGGGCGCGUCAAUGGCUACAUGUCAGUCGUUUGCCACGAGCCGUCACAUGAGCCAGCACCUGCAUGCGCGCAUGGAGCAGAGUGCUCACCUUCUGGCCCCAACACUGGCAAGGCCCAAGCUCACCACCAAGGCCGACGAGCUCCCCGAAGCUGUCGUCGUCCAGGAUGCGGGUGACGCCAUGGCCGGCUUCGUGGGCCUCCUCCGCCAGCUCGGGGACCUCGCACAGCUCGCCGCGGAGGUGUUCGACGGCCUGCAUGACCAGGCCACGGCGGUGCCUGCACGGGCGUGCGGCCUCGCGCUGGGGGCGCGGCGGCUCGAGGCGGAGCUGCCACUCAUCGAGGAGCGGCUCCGCCGUCGUUGGAAUGGACAGGCUUGUGUACUUCAUCGGCUAGAAGCUCUGUGUGGCGUCGCAGGCCACGGUGUCGAUCGGCCGGUGACUCUGGUGGGAGGAACAAGGCCGUGCUCCAUCGAAAAGUAUGAUGCUGGUGGCGAGGGAGCGUGCUUGAAGAGAUACACCGACCCCUCCUUCUUCAGAGCCCACUCUGCACAGCAUGAAUCAGACCUUCAGAGUUCAGACAACCAUUCCAAACCCCCUGCCAAGGAAGCCCACCAUAACAAAUACUCCAAAUUUAAAACAGGCGCAUUGUCCGAUAUGCUCCAACAACUUAAAUAUCGUCACAUGAUCAGAAGAAAGAGGCGUCAAAAGCACAACUUUCAGAAUCAGGGUUCGUCACAAGAUGAAGCAUCUGAACCACACGUUUUGUCUUCAGCUGAUUCGCCUGAAGCAUCAAACUCCGAAGCGCCAUGCCCUGCAGUACCAGCGAACAAGGAGAGGAGCAGUGACCUCGUUGACAGGACCAGUUCGUUCGGGGCAUGGCUCUCUCCAAGUGUAGCCUGUUGUACUGAUGCGUGUGAAAACACACCAGACAAUACUGAUGGAUCUUCCAGCCAUGGCACAAACAAGGCCGACGAGAAUGCCAACAAUGCGACAAAUUCUCGUAGCCCCCUUGUCGACUUCAUCGCCUCAAGGGUCGAAAGCUCGCCGAGCAAGCUAUCUGUCAAGAAGCACAGUGACCCGUUAACAAAAUCCUUCCGGAACAUGGCUAAGAAGCUGCUGCUUGAGUAUGAAUCAGCAGAGAAUUUUCGUAACAGCAAUCUAGUGCAUUCUGAAGACGUACCAGAUCCAGAUGAAGUAGCAUUUUACAGCAAAACCACCAAGGACACUCACCAAGACGCGGCGACCUCGGAGCAAUCCGACGAUCCUUGUGAAUAA
RNAcentral lists this ribosomal RNA (1407 nucleotides) under Triticum aestivum (bread wheat). RNAcentral describes it as "partial small subunit ribosomal RNA". The record is from RNAcentral. Lineage: Eukaryota; Viridiplantae; Streptophyta; Magnoliopsida; Poales; Poaceae.